RNAcentral lists this ribosomal RNA (429 nucleotides) under uncultured bacterium. RNAcentral describes it as "bacterial SSU rRNA". It matches the Rfam family "Bacterial small subunit ribosomal RNA", at positions 355 to 776 of the family's 1533-position model. The record is from RNAcentral.
UGGGGAAUUUUGGACAAUGGGGGAAACCCUGAUCCAGCCAUCCCGCGUGUGCGAUGAAGGCCUUCGGGUUGUAAAGCACUUUUGUCAGGGAAGAAAAGGUUUCGGAUAAUACCCGGAACUGAUGACGGUACCUGAAGAAUAAGCACCGGCUAACUACGUGCCAGCAGCCGCGGUAAUACGUAGGGUGCAAGCGUUAAUCGGAAUUACUGGGCGUAAAGCGUGCGCAGGCGGUUCGGAAAGAAAGAUGUGAAAUCCCAGGGCUCAACCUUGGAACUGCAUUUUUAACUACCGAACUAGAGUAUGUCAGAGGGGGGUGGAAUUCCACGUGUAGCAGUGAAAUGCGUAGAUAUGUGGAGGAACACCGAUGGCGAAGGCAGCCCCCUGGGAUAAUACUGACGCUCAUGCACGAAAGCGUGGGGAGCAAACAGG